GAUGAACGCUGGCGGCGUGCCUAAUACAUGCAAGUCGAGCGAACGGACGAGAAGCUUGCUUGUCUGAUGUUAGCGGCGGACGGGUGAGUAACACGUGGAUCACCUACCUAUAAGACUGGGAUAACUUCGGGAAACCGGAGCUAAUACCGGAUGAUAUUUUGAACCGCAUGGUUCAAAAGUGAAAGACGGUCUUGCUGUCACUUAUAGCUGGAUCCGCGCUGCAUUAGCUAGUUGGUAAGGUAACGGCUUACCAAGGCAACGAUGCAUAGCCGACCUGAGAGGGUGAUCGGCCACACUGGAACUGAGACACGGUCCAGACUCCUACGGGAGGCAGCAGUAGGGAAUCUUCCGCAAUGGGCGAAAGCCUGACGGAGCAACGCCGCGUGAGUGAUGAAGGUGUUCGGAUCGUAAAACUCUGUUAUUAGGGAAGAACAUAUGUGUAAGUAACUGUGCACAGCGUGACGGUACCUAAUCAGAAAGCCACGGCUAACUACGUG
This 497-nucleotide ribosomal RNA is filed under the name uncultured bacterium. Its description in RNAcentral is "partial 16S ribosomal RNA". It matches the Rfam family "Bacterial small subunit ribosomal RNA", at positions 28 to 507 of the family's 1533-position model. The record is from RNAcentral.